GACGAACGCUGCGGCGUGCUAAUACAUGCAAGUAGAACGCACAGGAUGCACGUAGUUUACUACACCGUAUUCUGUGAGUUGCGAACGGGUGAGUAACGCGUAGGUAACCUGCCUGGUAGCGGGGGAUAACUAUUGGAAACGAUAGCUAAUACCGCAUAAGAACAUUUACUGCAUGGUAGAUGUUUAAAAGGUGCAAAUGCAUCACUACCAGAUGGACCUGCGUUGUAUUAGCUAGUAGGUGAGGUAACGGCUCACCUAGGCGACGAUACAUAGCCGACCCGAGAGGGUGAUCGGCCACACUGGGACUGAGACACGGCCCAGACUCCUACGGGAGGCAGCAGUAGGGAAUCUUCGGCAAUGGGGGGAACCCUGACCGAGCAACGCCGCGUGAGUGAAGAAGGUUUUCGGAUCGUAAAGCUCUGUUGUUAAGGAAGAACGAGUGUGAGAAUGGAAAGUUCAUACUGUGACGGUACUUAACCAAAAGGCGGC
RNAcentral lists this ribosomal RNA (489 nucleotides) under Streptococcus intermedius. RNAcentral's name for it is "bacterial SSU rRNA". It matches the Rfam family "Bacterial small subunit ribosomal RNA", at positions 28 to 494 of the family's 1533-position model. Lineage: Bacteria; Bacillati; Bacillota; Bacilli; Lactobacillales; Streptococcaceae. The record is from RNAcentral.